AACGAACGCUGGCGGCAUGCCUAACACAUGCAAGUCGAACGAGACCUUCGGGUCUAGUGGCGCACGGGUGCGUAACGCGUGGGAACCUGCCCUUAGGUUCGGAAUAACUCCCCGAAAGGGGUGCUAAUACCGGAUAAUGUCUUCGGACCAAAGAUUUAUCGCCUUUGGAUGGGCCCGCGUUGGAUUAGCUAGUUGGUAGGGUAAAAGCCUACCAAGGCGACGAUCCAUAGCUGGUCUGAGAGGAUGAUCAGCCACACUGGGACUGAGACACGGCCCAGACUCCUACGGGAGGCAGCAGUGGGGAAUAGUGGACAGCGGGCGAAAGCCUGAUCCAGCAAUGACGGGUGAGUGAUGAAGGCCGUAGGGUUGUAAAGCUCUUUUAACCGGGAUGAUAAUGACGGUACCGGGAGAAUAAGCUCCGGCUAACUACGUG
This 433-nucleotide ribosomal RNA is filed under the name uncultured bacterium. Its description in RNAcentral is "partial 16S ribosomal RNA". It matches the Rfam family "Bacterial small subunit ribosomal RNA", at positions 29 to 507 of the family's 1533-position model. The record is from RNAcentral.